AUUAUUUUCUCAAUGGUAGGCUUUUGGAUAUUAUUUCAACCAUAAAGAAAGGAUCCAUCGUCUGGCAAGAGGUUUUUGAUGACAAUGUGAAGCUUCAGCAAGGCACUAUCAUUCAAGUAUGGAAACAGGACAAGUAUGUUAAUGAACUAGAGGUAAUCACAAAAGCUGGCUUCCCUGUGAUCCUUUCUGCUCCGUGGUACUUAGACUAUAUCAGUUAUGGACAAGAUUGGAUGAAAUACUAUAAAGUGGAACCUCUUGAUUUUAGAGGUUCUCAGCAGCAGAAACAACUUGUCCUUGGUGGAGAAGCUUGUCUGUGGGGGAGAAUAUGUGGAUGCAACUAACCUCACUCCGAGACUAUGGCCUCGGGCAAGUGCUGUUGCUGAGAGACUCUGGAGCCAGAAAGAGAUCAGAAAUCUAGACGAUGCCUACAGAAGACUAACAGCUCACCGCUGCAGAAUGGUCAGACGCGGCAUAGCUGCGGAGCCUCUUUACAUCGGAUACUGUGGCACCUGAGCUGGACCAGAAGGGGAAAGCCCUCAGCAACGCACUGCCGUGGACUCGGUUUGAAAUCAUGUAAAUUAAGAUUUGGUAUAUUGUUUUUGAAUAAAAUAUAUUUGAAUUGAUUGAA
Long non-coding RNA from Artibeus jamaicensis (Jamaican fruit-eating bat), 628 nucleotides. RefSeq lists it as uncharacterized. Lineage: Eukaryota; Metazoa; Chordata; Mammalia; Chiroptera; Phyllostomidae. The record is from RefSeq and is a predicted model, not a curated record. The transcript is spliced from 5 exons.